Melanotaenia boesemani (Boeseman's rainbowfish) is the source of this 313-nucleotide long non-coding RNA. RefSeq lists it as uncharacterized. Lineage: Eukaryota; Metazoa; Chordata; Actinopteri; Atheriniformes; Melanotaeniidae. The record is from RefSeq and is a predicted model, not a curated record. The transcript is spliced from 4 exons.
UCACAGCAGGAUGCAGAAAGCAAUACAAGUGCAUUAAAAAACAAAAAACUACUAGACUGUUUUCCUCUGCAGGUGUGAAGUAACAUCUCCUGCUUUACACACUUGUUUCCACCCAAAUGUAAAAACAAUUCAUCACUUUCAGAUUUUACAGCACAGAGAAAACUUGAAUCAUAUUUAAAAACAUUAAAAUCCCAUAAACUGAUGAAAAUCUCAGUUAUUCAGGUUUCUCUUUCAUGGUAAUACUUGUGGAAUGAGCACAAAAUCUUUAACAAUUCAAAGUCAGGAAACGUUGUUUUCCGAUAGUCGGAAGAGA